GAAGGAGUUGGAUUACUUCUGGAACAAUCUGUUUGAAGAAACAUAUAGGAACAUGAGCAUUCGAAGCAGGAGAAGAGAGCGCAAACAGGAGCUCAGACGACUGGAGCUAGAGAUGGUGAACAAACCCACUGAAGAUCUGCAUCUGCCAGAUCAGAAGGCAUGGCUCUGACAAGGACAGGACAGCGCUGAUGAGAAAGUCAAACUGGAAGAGUAAGAAUGAAGGAGAGAUUUACAGGAGAGUGAAAUGUUAUUAAGGAUUUCCUGUGAAGAAGCUCCUGACCUCUAAGGACCAAGGAGGAGAGAUGAGAUGUGGCAAGAUUUACUGAGACUACAAGCUAGCUAAGUACUCUCUGAUUGGUGCUGAUGUCCCAGAGGAGUUCCUGUGUGCAGGACGUCAACAGUUCAUUAUGGCUGCAGGUUAGUGGG
This is a long non-coding RNA of Ictalurus punctatus (channel catfish), 426 nucleotides long. Lineage: Eukaryota; Metazoa; Chordata; Actinopteri; Siluriformes; Ictaluridae. The record is from Ensembl.